Molecule: ribosomal RNA, 289 nt
Filed under: uncultured bacterium
Lineage: Bacteria
Description: partial 16S ribosomal RNA
Rfam family: Bacterial small subunit ribosomal RNA
Source: RNAcentral
AACGAACGCUGGCGGCAGGCCUAAAACAUGCAAGUCGAACGAGAAGCUAGCUUCGGUUAGUGGACAGUGGCGGACGGGUGCGUAACACGUGGGAAUGUACCCCAAGGUAAGGAACAACACAUCGAAAGAUGUGCUAAUACCUUAUAAUAUCUUAGGAUCAAAGAUUUUAUCGCCUUGGGAUCAGCCCGCGGCUGAUUAGGUAGUUGGUAGAGUAAAAGCCUACCAAGCCGACGAUCAGUAGCUGGUCUGAGAGGAUGAUCAGCCACACUGGGACUGAGACACGGCCCAG